AUUUAUUUAGCUUAAAGAUAAAAGCAUUAUAUUGAAAAUAUAAAAAUAAUUUCAAAUUAAUAAAUA
This 66-nucleotide transfer RNA is filed under the name Coleoptera sp. 15 KM-2017. Its description in RNAcentral is "tRNA-Phe". The record is from RNAcentral. Lineage: Eukaryota; Metazoa; Arthropoda; Insecta; Coleoptera.